UUUCAGGGAUGUUACCCACAAACAUCAUGAAUGAUAUGACAUGAGAUUCUAAUAGAGAUAUGAAAUAAAUCUUAAGCUAAUACACAUGUAAUUAAUUGAUAUAUAUUUUCAAGCAUGGCAACUGUCAAAGCAAGGAAAUAUAAAAGUGUAGUGUGCAUCAAGUCGCAUGACUUUCUCAGAGUACUAAUACCUCCACCACAAUAGGGCACCGCCUGAGUUUUAGGUGCACUACUCAAGUUCACAAGUAUUUUCUACAAUUUGUUAGAACCU
Molecule: long non-coding RNA, 270 nt
Filed under: Phoenix dactylifera (date palm)
Lineage: Eukaryota; Viridiplantae; Streptophyta; Magnoliopsida; Arecales; Arecaceae
Description: long non-coding RNA (PDAC_LNC011361)
Source: RNAcentral